RNAcentral lists this RNase P RNA (486 nucleotides) under Acidobacteriota bacterium. RNAcentral's name for it is "RNase P RNA component class A". It matches the Rfam family "Bacterial RNase P class A". From Rfam's summary of the family: Ribonuclease P (RNase P) is a ubiquitous endoribonuclease, found in archaea, bacteria and eukarya as well as chloroplasts and mitochondria. Its best characterised activity is the generation of mature 5'-ends of tRNAs by cleaving the 5'-leader elements of precursor-tRNAs. The record is from RNAcentral. Lineage: Bacteria; Pseudomonadati; Acidobacteriota.
GGAGCAAGUCGGGUAAUCGCUUUUAUUGUUAAAAUUGAAAGAGGAAAGUCCGAACACCGAAGAGCAGCGAGCCGGAUAAUGACCGGGCGUUUGAUUUAAAAGUCGAGCGACGACAAGUGCAACAGAGAACAGACCAGCCAUUUGGAUUUUGGAUUUUGGAUUUUGGAUUUUGGAUUUUAUAUUCAGUUCGGAUUACAAAACCAUUUCGGAGUUGGUGAUGGGUGAAACGGUGCGGUUUCGUUGGGAAACUUAAAGUAAGAGCGCACCAGCGCAUUUGGUAACAAAGGCGGCUGGGUAAACUCCUCGCGGUGCAAGACCAAAUAGGGAAAUGUAUUUAAUGAGUUGCUCGCUCAUUUGUCCGAAGCGAUUCGGGCGGCUUUUCCGGGUAGGUCGCUUGAGCUAUUUGGCGACAAAUAGCCUAGAUGAAUGAUUGCCAUCCGCUUUUUUUAGCGGACACAAAAUUCGGCUUAUAGACUUGCUCCAAUU